UGGGAAUAUUGCACAAUGGGCGCAAGCCUGAUGCAGCCAUGCCGCGUGUGUGAAGAAGGCCUUCGGGUUGUAAAGCACUUUCAGCGAGGAGGAAGGUGGUGAGCUUAAUACGCUCAUCAAUUGACGUUACUCGCAGAAGAAGCACCGGCUAACUCCGUGCCAGCAGCCGCGGUAAUACGGAGGGUGCAAGCGUUAAUCGGAAUUACUGGGCGUAAAGCGCACGCAGGCGGUUUGUUAAGUCAGAUGUGAAAUCCCCGGGCUCAACCUGGGAACUGCAUUUGAAACUGGCAAGCUAGAGUCUCGUAGAGGGGGGCUAGAAUUCCAGGUGUAGCGGUGAAAUGCGUAGAGAUCUGGAGGAAUACCGGUGGCGAAGGCGGCCCCCCUGGACGAAGACUGACGCUCAGGUGCGAAAGCGUGGGGCAGCAAACAGGAUUAGAUACCCCUGGUAGUCCACGCUGUAAAACGAUGUCGA
This 472-nucleotide ribosomal RNA is filed under the name uncultured bacterium. Its description in RNAcentral is "partial 16S ribosomal RNA". It matches the Rfam family "Bacterial small subunit ribosomal RNA", at positions 356 to 815 of the family's 1533-position model. The record is from RNAcentral.